Molecule: long non-coding RNA, 1695 nt
Filed under: Musa acuminata (dwarf banana)
Lineage: Eukaryota; Viridiplantae; Streptophyta; Magnoliopsida; Zingiberales; Musaceae
Description: long non-coding RNA (MACU_LNC006081)
Source: RNAcentral
AGAUCGAAGCCGCGGCCCUUGUCCGCCUUCUCCUCCUCUUACUCCUCGUCGCAUCGAUCUAUUCUUCCAUUCUCCUCCAUCUUCUUGGGAUUGAUCGCUGGUAAUCGUCGUUUUCCAUACCCCAAAUCCUCAUCGUUAUCUUUGUUGGGCGGGAUCGACCGCUGGUAAAGCGGCGUCGAGCGAGUGCAGAUCGCCGUGGCCGAACGCCUCAUUAUGCCAGCCACAUCGAUCCGUCGAUCUCUGACCGAGCGGACUCCUCUUCUCUUCACGAGUCCCGCUCUUGUCAAGAUCCGAUACAUGCCGCAGAUCCCUCCCAAAGAUGUGCCUCUCCUUCAUGUUUCUGUUCCGAUUUGAACCUUUCUCGAUCGCGUGUUUUCAUGUCUAUUGGAUCGGUCGCUGGUGAUGUGGUGUUGAGAAUCGUGAUAUAGGGUUUCUCUGCACCUCCCAUAACCAGCAAUACUAAUAUUCUUUCCACAACCAAUUCAACGGGUGCUGUUGAUUCGUUUUCGCUGCUCAACGUCGCCCACGCCCCGGUUGUGACAUCUUUAUCUGAUUGAUUGCUUAUCUUUUCUUCAUUUAUUUCAUUAUAUAUAUAUAUAUAUUCGAUUUUGUUGAUCUUUUAUGAUGCUUGGAAGACGGGAGACCAAGCAUAAGUCAGGUAUCUGCUGGAGAUAUAAUGGCUGAUACAGUUACAUGCUUGGCAGAUGAACGGAGCUCAUCGUUACACGUGGCGCUUUGAUCACCUCGUGCCGUGUGUUACAUCUGAGCCGGACAAUCUGUGAUUCCUCCUAAAUCCCUUCCAUAGCAAAUAUUUUAGCAAGUAGGAGAACGUAAGGCUUUCUGUUAUCUGUACCAUGACGAUCAGUUAGGGUUUUCAUAAUAUUUAGCUCAUAGAGAUACCCAAACUAGCAUGCUAGUGCAUGAAACAAGUUGAUUGUUCUUCGUCUUGGCCUUAAGUGCAUGCCAAUUUCUUGGUCAUUAAUGCUUCUGCAUUGCCCAAAGCAGUCCUAGUUUCGAGAACAGGCUUCUGCUGAGGGGGCUCGCUUUGAUUUCCAUGUUUAUUCUAGAUUUGCCAGUGAGACCUGGUGAUCCUUUGGCAUCUAUUUGUUCUGGCAUCAUGCAUCUUGGUUGAUAAGUUAGAGAAGCAAAAGCUUGGGCUAGACACCUGCCACAGGUCAUGAAAAAUUUAAAGGUUUGUCAAUGCUGCUUUACAACUUGUUUGAAAUAGAGUUCGUGUAUUAAAAGCACAAGUUUGGUCGGUUCGGAAUCUGUACACAAUUGGUUGAAACGAUUUAUGUACUUGCUUGACUAUUAUAUACUGCACCUGGCGAAACUGGCGCACUUUGCAUGUGUAAAUUUUUAUUUGUGUAUAUAUGUGUGCGAUUUUCAAUAACUCAAAAUUUCUUUUUAGUAGCACUCAUUCUGUGACACAUUCCUACACAGCAGGCGAAAUGUAACAUACCCCAACAGCAGGUAAAACAAUUAAGACGUUUUUUAACCUUAUAACUAUUUGAAAAUAUAUUUUAAACAGAUAACAAGUUAUAUUAUUUUUGUUAUUCUUCAAAGUUAUUGAGCCAAGGUCUAUAACAGCCAGAUAAAUCACUCACCUUUGAAGCAGCAACUAACGCUAUUAUCACACUAACUAAUUUCAGAGAGAGCCUUCAGGUGAUGGUAAAUGACUAACAUGUACAAAGA